UUGCGCAAUGGGGGCAACCCUGACGCAGCAAUGCCACGUGAGUGAGGAAGGCUCUAGGGUCGUAAAGCUCUGUCCUAUAGGAAGAACGGCUUUAGGUAACGCUAAAGUUUGACGGUACUAUAGAAGAAAGCACCGGCUAACUCCGUGCCAGCAGCCGCGGUAAUACGGAGGGUGCAAGCGUUGUUCGGAAUUACUGGGCGUAAAGCGCGUGUAGGCGGACAUGCAGGUCAGAUGUGAAAUCCCCCGGCUCAACCGGGGAACUGCUUCUGAAACCGUAUGCCUUGAGUAUGUCAGAGGAGAGUGGAAUUCCCAGUGUAGAGGUGAAAUUCAUAGAUAUUGGGAAGAACACCGGUGGCGAAGGCGGCUCUCUGGGACAAUACUGACGCUGAGACGCGAAAGCGUGGGUAGCAAACAGGAUUAGAUACCCUGGUAGUCCACGCCGUAAACGAUGUGCACCAGGUGUUGGGGGUAAUUAAACCUUCAGUGCCGCAGCUAACGCAUUAAGUGCACCGCCUGGGGAUUACGGCCGCAAGGCUAAAACUCAAAGGAAUUGACGGGGGCCCGCACAAGCGGUGGAGUUGUGGUUUAAUUCGACGCAACGCGCAAAACCUUACCUGGGUUUGACAU
This 627-nucleotide ribosomal RNA is filed under the name uncultured soil bacterium. RNAcentral describes it as "bacterial SSU rRNA". It matches the Rfam family "Bacterial small subunit ribosomal RNA", at positions 364 to 987 of the family's 1533-position model. The record is from RNAcentral.